RNAcentral lists this ribosomal RNA (443 nucleotides) under uncultured bacterium. RNAcentral's name for it is "partial 16S ribosomal RNA". It matches the Rfam family "Bacterial small subunit ribosomal RNA", at positions 338 to 795 of the family's 1533-position model. The record is from RNAcentral.
CCUACGGGUGGCAGCAGUGGGGAAUAUUGGGCAAUGGGCGCAAGCCUGACCCAGCAACGCCGCGUGAAGGAAGAAGGCUUUCGGGUUGUAAACUUCUUUUCUCAGGGACGAAGAAAGUGACGGUACCUGAGGAAUAAGCCACGGCUAACUACGUGCCAGCAGCCGCGGUAAUACGUAGGUGGCAAGCGUUAUCCGGAUUUAGUGGGUGUAAAGGGCGUGUAGGCGGGAGCGCAAGUCAGAUGUGAAAACUCAGGGCUCAACCCUGGGACUGCAUUUGAAACUGUGUUUCUUGAGUGCUGGAGAGGAUAGCGGAAUUCCGGGUGUAGCGGUGAAAUGCGUAGAUACACGGAGGAACACCAGUGGCGAAGGCGGAUUUCUGGCACGUAACUGACGCUGAGGAGCGAAAGCGUGGGGAGCAAACAGGAUUAGAUACCCGAGUAGUC